RNAcentral lists this ribosomal RNA (705 nucleotides) under Salmonella enterica subsp. enterica serovar Enteritidis. Its description in RNAcentral is "bacterial SSU rRNA". It matches the Rfam family "Bacterial small subunit ribosomal RNA", at positions 46 to 740 of the family's 1533-position model. The record is from RNAcentral. Lineage: Bacteria; Pseudomonadati; Pseudomonadota; Gammaproteobacteria; Enterobacterales; Enterobacteriaceae.
GCCUAACACAUGCAAGUCGAACGGUAACAGGAAGCAGCUUGCUGCUUCGCUGACGAGUGGCGGACGGGUGAGUAAUGUCUGGGAAACUGCCUGAUGGAGGGGGAUAACUACUGGAAACGGUGGCUAAUACCGCAUAACGUCGCAAGACCAAAGAGGGGGACCUUCGGGCCUCUUGCCAUCAGAUGUGCCCAGAUGGGAUUAGCUUGUUGGUGAGGUAACGGCUCACCAAGGCGACGAUCCCUAGCUGGUCUGAGAGGAUGACCAGCCACACUGGAACUGAGACACGGUCCAGACUCCUACGGGAGGCAGCAGUGGGGAAUAUUGCACAAUGGGCGCAAGCCUGAUGCAGCCAUGCCGCGUGUAUGAAGAAGGCCUUCGGGUUGUAAAGUACUUUCAGCGGGGAGGAAGGUGUUGUGGUUAAUAACCGCAGCAAUUGACGUUACCCGCAGAAGAAGCACCGGCUAACUCCGUGCCAGCAGCCGCGGUAAUACGGAGGGUGCAAGCGUUAAUCGGAAUUACUGGGCGUAAAGCGCACGCAGGCGGUCUGUCAAGUCGGAUGUGAAAUCCCCGGGCUCAACCUGGGAACUGCAUUCGAAACUGGCAGGCUUGAGUCUUGUAGAGGGGGGUAGAAUUCCAGGUGUAGCGGUGAAAUGCGUAGAGAUCUGGAGGAAUACCGGUGGCGAAGGCGGCCCCCUGGACAAAGAC